Long non-coding RNA from Centruroides sculpturatus (bark scorpion), 744 nucleotides. RefSeq lists it as uncharacterized. The transcript is spliced from 5 exons. The record is from RefSeq and is a predicted model, not a curated record. Lineage: Eukaryota; Metazoa; Arthropoda; Arachnida; Scorpiones; Buthidae.
GUGUCUCAAGUGUGCAGGCCAACCUUUCAGCAAAAAGAGAAGGCUAUAGGACAGUGGAAAAAACCAAAAUCCAGAUACUUACGAAUACAGCCAGGUCAGGGAACAGAUACUUUAUUUUUCAAAGUUUGUAAGUACAGUUUAUAAUUUUCACAUUUUCCUGAUUCAUUUACAAAAUUCGUAUUACAACUUUAGAAAGCAUCAGUUCAAUAACUGGGAUUAUUUACAAUUCACAGACCCGACAAGUUAAUUUACAAAUAUUUUAUUAAACCAACUUCAAACUUGUUGCGCUAAAGCGCAUUCGAGGAAUAAAUGAAUCGUGGUCUGUCUUGCCCCGCACAAUAAGCACUUUGCAUCCCGACCGUGAAGGUUUAAUAUCCUUUGUAAUUAACUUAAUAAUCUCGAAGUUUGACUGAGGAUUCCUAAAAAGAUCUGCAUAAAACCCUCUAAAUUCUUCCAAAAUUUCAUCAGUAUUAUUACAUAGACUCGAUCCAGCCUUUCUUGCACAUUACUCCCGGACCAUGUAAAGCCAGGAUAACACGGAUACUUAAAACGUUACUUGAGGAGGUGCAUACAUAUUGACCACCCUAAUUAAAUUACCACUCACCUGGAUAUCCACAGUAAGUAUUCUUCCCUCACGGUCGGUUUUAAAGUCACAAACUUUUACUUUCUUUUUAACUAAUGUCAAUACACUAGUGCUCCUUCGAUUUGAAAACGAGGCAUAAAUAUUAUAUCCAACAUAGAUUU